UCGUAACAAGGUUUCCGUAGGUGAACCUGCGGAAGGAUCAUUGUCGAGACCUGCAGCAGCAGGGAGACCGCGAACCCGUGACACACGGCUUCGGCGCCCUCGGGACCGGCCGUUGCCAUUCACUGCCGCCCUCGGGCGUGCGGGUUUGGCAAGAACAACAAACCCCAGCGCGAGUUGCGCCAAGGAAAACAAACAAAGUUCGCCUCGCGUCGUCUCCCGAUCUCGGGCGCGCUACGCGUGGUGACUUAAGUUGCAAAACACGACGACUCUCGGCAACGGAUAUCUCGGCUCUCGCAUCGAUGAAGAACGUAGCGAAAUGCGAUACUUGGUGUGAAUUGCAGAAUCCCGUGAACCAUCGAGUCUUUGAACGCAAGUUGCGCCCGAAGCCAUUAGGCCGAGGGCACGUCUGCCUGGGCGUCACGCAACUCGUCGCAACCGGCUCCUCAACGAGGGCUGCUGGUGGCGUAUUAUGGCCCCCCGCGAGCUUGUCCCGCGGCCGGCCCAAAAGCGGAGUCACCCGUGGUCUGGUUGUCACGGCAGGUGGUGGCACUAUGCUCAUCGCGUUUUGCCGUGCUGAAACUCUUCCGCGGUCGCGUCUCCCCUACCCUAUAGCGCCUUGUCUUUUGCAUGGUGCCUUGACCGCGACCCCAGGUCAGGCGGGACUACCCGCUGAGUUUAAGCAUA
This 684-nucleotide ribosomal RNA is filed under the name Aosa rostrata. RNAcentral's name for it is "eukaryotic LSU rRNA". The stretch from base 265 to 420 matches the Rfam family "5.8S ribosomal RNA". The record is from RNAcentral. Lineage: Eukaryota; Viridiplantae; Streptophyta; Magnoliopsida; Cornales; Loasaceae.